UGGAAUAAAAAAAUGAUUUUGCAUAAAAAAAAUUUCUCUGGAACGCUGAUUCUUAAUUUUCAAAGAUGAAUAUUUUGACCUUGUUGCGACAUUCUGAAAUAUGGGAAAGUGAUUUUAUGUAUGAGCAUACAAAAGUGAUGGGGUAGUGGUUGGUGAAUAUAUUUCGUUCAUGAAUCUUAUUUCAGAAAUUGCGGCUGAGCUAGGUGUUGACGAAUCAAAAAAAACUAUAGAGAUUAGGUAUGUUGUUGAAGGGAAUUCGUCUCCAUUGUGUAUUAGGACUGAUAUGAGUGUAAAAUAUUAUAUAGAAAUUAAGAAACAUGAGGCUGGUUUCGGAACUUAUCCUUUAUGCAUUGAUACUUCACAUAAAUGUGUUGAAGAGAUAAUAAAUUUGAUGCAAUAACAGGUGUCAACAUGUGUGUUGAGGGUGAAAAAAGCGACGCAAAGGCUCUCAAUAUUGCUGAAUCAUCAAUUGAUGAUGCAUAUUACAUACCAGAAAUGGAUGUUGAUAAGUAUAUAUCAUACACCAAUAAUUCAGUUGUGGAAGAGAAUCAAAUGUAUAAGGAUAAGUCAACUCUGAAGGCGGUAAUGGAAAAUUACAAAAUAAAGAAUAGUUUCAACUUUAAAGUUAAAAGAUUUGAUAACAAAAGCUACGUAUUAAUUUGUCAUUCAGAUGAUUGUUGUUGAAAAUUGAAGGCAUCUGUUAGGAAGAAUUCAGAAACAUUCAUAGUGAGAUACUUUAAUAGUGAACAUACCUGUCCAUUAAGGGAUAAGGUAUUAAGCAAGGUACAAGCCACAGUUGGGUUUGUUGGUGGUGUGACAGCGCUUAAAUUAGGGAAUCAUAAAAGAAAACAUACUCCGAGCGAUAUAAUUGAUGAUAUCAGGGAAAUGUAUGGCGUUGAGAUUUCUUAUCAACAAGCAUGGCGUGAAAAAGAGCGUGAAUUGGAACUUAUAAGAGGUUGUUGCAUCUUCUGAGUUUAUUUAUUCAGUGUAUGAAAGUGGGAUUACAUACAUUGUUUGUCUUGAGAAAAAACUUGUUCAUGUGGAAGAUUUCAACUUGACGAGAUACCUUGUCCACAUUCAAUAGCCGUCUUGAAGAAGAAGAAUAUAACAGAUGUACACCCCUAUUGCUCUGAUUAUUAUAAACACGAUGCAUUAACAAAUACUUAUGCAAUUCUAAUAGAACCAAUGCCAGAAAAAAGAGAAUGGAAAGCUCCGGACUGUUUUGAAAGAAGUGGUCUUGCCACCUAGAUACAAAAAGAUGCCUGGGAGACCAAGAUAAAAGAGAGAAAAAUUCAGAUGAAAAGAUUACAACAAAAACGAAUUGUUGCGGACGUUGUGGUCAAGAAGGUCAUAAUAAAAGAACAUGUACCUUCUUUCCAAAAGAUUCUUGAUUUAUAUUUUUUUAGUAUCUUUGAUGCGUAAUAAUGUUUCUGGAUAUUUUAAUUUGAUAAUAAUUUGUGAACUUUUUUUA
This is a long non-coding RNA of Solanum lycopersicum (tomato), 1471 nucleotides long. RefSeq lists it as uncharacterized. The record is from RefSeq and is a predicted model, not a curated record. NCBI's taxonomy places the organism in Eukaryota, Viridiplantae, Streptophyta, Magnoliopsida, Solanales, Solanaceae.